GUAGGGGGCGAGCGUUGUCCGGAUUUAUUGGGCGUAAAGAGCUCGUAGGCGGCUCAGCAAGUCGCCGUGAAAACCUGGGGGCUCAACCUCAGGACGCCGGUCGAAACUGCUGUGGCUAGGGUCCCGGUAGAGGAGAGUGGAAUUCCCGGUGUAGCGGUGAAAUGCGCAGAUAUCGGGAGGAACACCAGUAGCGAAGGCGGCUCUCUGGGCCGGCACCGACGCUGAGGAGCGAAAGCUAGGGGAGCAAACAGGAUUAGAUACCCUGGUAGUCCUAGCCGUAAACGUUGGGCACUAGGUGUGGCGGAUUCGAUUCGACAUCUGCCGUGCCGAAGCUAACGCAUUAAGUGCCCCGCCUGGGGAGUACGGUCGCAAGGCUA
RNAcentral lists this ribosomal RNA (377 nucleotides) under uncultured organism. RNAcentral's name for it is "partial 16S ribosomal RNA". It matches the Rfam family "Bacterial small subunit ribosomal RNA", at positions 527 to 896 of the family's 1533-position model. The record is from RNAcentral.